This 253-nucleotide ribosomal RNA is filed under the name uncultured bacterium. RNAcentral's name for it is "partial 16S ribosomal RNA". It matches the Rfam family "Bacterial small subunit ribosomal RNA", at positions 524 to 776 of the family's 1533-position model. The record is from RNAcentral.
GACAGAGGGGGCAAGCGUUGCUCGGAAUUACUGGGCGUAAAGGGCGCGUAGGCGGGAUGGCAAGUCGGUCGUGAAAUCCCUCGGCUCAACCGAGGAACGUCGAUCGAUACUGCUGUUCUUGAGGAUUGCAGAGGAGACUGGAAUUCCCGGUGUAGCGGUGAAAUGCGCAGAUAUCAGGAAGAACACCCGUGGCUAAGGCGGCUCUCUAGUACGGUACUGACGCUGAGACGCGAAAGCGUGGGGAGCGAACAGG